CAGCCUGUAGUCUAGAGGAUAAGGUACAUGACUGGGACCCAUGAGGUUGGUGGUUCAAGUCCCAGUCCAGCCACA
This 75-nucleotide transfer RNA is filed under the name Albula goreensis. RNAcentral describes it as "tRNA-OTHER". The record is from RNAcentral. Lineage: Eukaryota; Metazoa; Chordata; Actinopteri; Albuliformes; Albulidae.